UAAGACAUGGAUUCUACAACAAUAAAACCAACCGAUAAAGCAGAGGCCGAUGUCAUCAUUUUAGAAGAAUACCAGUCUGUAGGAUGUGGAGGUGAAGCAGAGAAGUCUAAUCAGGUCAUUUUGAAUAGAAAACUCGCCAGUCCGUGAAAAAGACUGAAGCACCGGCUGGAUGCAGCACGACUUUUGACAAAGAAAAAGACGGACACCUGGCCUAGACGGCACGAUCUUGGACAUGAUGAACUGAGACUCAGCAACUAGAACAAGGAAAACCAGAUCCCUGCCAGCGUGACACGUAAUACAACCUAUAGAAGGUCUUCUCCUUAUUUUAUAUCUGCUAGAAAAUGAUUCAUUAUGACCACAAUUGGUCGCUCAGUCGUCUGGUCUUAUGUGUUUAGCUCUGUUGAAAAUUUAGGGGAAAAAUGUGCUGAAUGUCAAGAGAACAAAUGGAUACCAGAUGGACACAUUUGUAGGAUUUGGUUCUCUAAACCAUUUAUUGAAUAUAAACAGUUUAUUGAUGCUCCAAAGGGCUAGAAGAGAUAGACUUGUGUCCUGUGUGCUGCUUUGUUAAAAAUGUAUAAUCUCCAUUGUUUUCAUAAAGCUAUCAAGAAUGAUGUGGAUGAUAUUAUAGCUGAAUCUGAGCAGGGAGAGACACUCAGUGAUGGAUACGCACAACUGAUUCAGCCUGUGAAGACCAGCGUUAUGUGGUCGGCUCUGUUCUAAACAGAGAAAAUAGGCUGACAUAA
Molecule: long non-coding RNA, 743 nt
Organism: Polypterus senegalus (gray bichir)
Lineage: Eukaryota; Metazoa; Chordata; Cladistia; Polypteriformes; Polypteridae
Exons: 3
Source: RefSeq, a predicted model, not a curated record